AUACCUCGUCCGGGGCACGUUGGAUCCCGGUGCAUUGCAAAAGUUGAUUCACCAAGGUUGUCUGUUGUGCAAGGGCGCUCGUCAACUCUAUGACUUGUCGAGACAAGUGUUAUUCACCAUUUGGAUUGGAAGAGCUUGGAAGGAAUGUGCCUCCUUGGGUAGUGGAAGGGUGGUAGACUCCGAGCAUGAGAUUUGAGUUGGGAAAUGUCAAAUCCGCAAAAAAAUGUGGUGAGAAUGCCCCCGGCUCAAUGGUAGGUCCGGAUGGUUAAGAUAGUCUUG
RNAcentral lists this long non-coding RNA (279 nucleotides) under Malus domestica (apple). RNAcentral's name for it is "long non-coding RNA (MDOM_LNC013849)". Lineage: Eukaryota; Viridiplantae; Streptophyta; Magnoliopsida; Rosales; Rosaceae. The record is from RNAcentral.